This 305-nucleotide ribosomal RNA is filed under the name uncultured bacterium. RNAcentral's name for it is "bacterial SSU rRNA". It matches the Rfam family "Bacterial small subunit ribosomal RNA", at positions 335 to 656 of the family's 1533-position model. The record is from RNAcentral.
UACCUACGGGAGGCAGCAGUGGGGACUAUUGCAGUUUGUGGGGAACCCUGCUGCAGCGACGCCGCGUGAGUGAGGAAGUAUUUCGGUAUGUAAAGCUCUAUCAGCAGGGAAGAAAAAAUGACGGUACCUGACUAAGAAGCACCGGCUAAAUACGUGCCAGCAGCCGCGGUAAUACGUAUGGUGCAAGCGUUAUCCGGAUUUACUGGGUGUAAAGGGAGCGCAGGCGGUACGGCAAGUCUGAUGUGAAAGCCCGGGGCUCAACCCCGGUACUGCAUUGGAAACUACCGGACUGGAGUGUCGGAGGG